GCCCUUUUAAGUACAGAACACAAUUAUGAGAGGAUUCAGUUAAAUUGGGCCCAGGACAUGGUCUCAGACCCAAUUCCUAGGCCUGCCAAACAUAAUUUCAAAGGGAGCAAUACUGUGCUUGCUUGCAGGGUUGCUCUCAUUUUUAACAAGGCUAGCACUAAAGCAUGAGUACAUUUUAGGCCAGCAGAUUUCUAAAUGAGGUUUUAGAGUCCAAUUCAUCUGCUCUAUUUGUCCAGAGGACUGAGGGUAACAGGGAGUAUGACAGCAUGAUUUGCAUCAUUCCUGAACCACAAUAGACUAUGGGCUAUGUGGACAUCCUAGAAAACAUAACGUGACAAAAAUCUUUUGCCUCCCACAGGCCUUAGUUCUACAGAAUCCAGCUGCUGUGAGGUCCCUGGUGAAGCUGGUGGAAGAGAACCUUCUUUAUGUACCUGGGGAGUGGCCUUAAAAGAAUCCUGUCAACAACCCGCACAUCAACGUUUUGGAUGAUGCUACCUGCUCAGCAGGCAUAGUGAGGCUUAUAGAUGGAGGAAGGAGAUGAGUCUCAGAUGAAACUCUGGACCUGGACGUGGGACUUUGUGUUAAUGCUGGAAUGAGUUAAGACUUUGGGAGACUAUUGGGGCCAGGCAUGGUGGCUCAUGCCUGUAAUCCCAGCACUUCUGGAGGCCAAGCCAGAUGGAUCACUUGAGGCCAGUUUGUCAGACCAGCCUGACCAACAUGGUGAAACCCCGCAUCUACUAAAAAUACAAAAAUUAGCCAGACACGGUGGCGCAUGCCUGUAAUCCCAGCUACUCGGAUUGCUGAGGCAUGAGAAUCACUUGAACCCAGGAGGCAGAGGUUGCGCUUUCCCCAUGUGAUAUGCUGCUCUCACUUCCCCUUCCACCACGAGUAAAAGCUCUGACGCCUCCCCAGAAGCUGAGCAAAUGCUAGUGCCCUGCUUCCUGUACAGCCUGCAGAACGGUCUGAUAUAUUUGCAGAUGGGUCUGCCCCCAGGAUGCUGUACUAAUCCUUUUUUGGCAUCUGCUCAACCGCCAUCAUCCAUGGAACCAGAAGUGGGCCUUCUCAGAUUAGCUAACUUCACAUAGGCGCUGCUGCCCACUCCUCGCCUGCUAACCCUGUCUGUCUUAAAAAUACAAAAUUAGCUAGGCCUGGUGGCACGCACCCGUAAUCCCAGCUACUCGGGAGGCUGAGGCAGGAGAAUCGCUUGAACCUGGGAGGCGGAGUUUGCGGAGAGCCGAGAUCUCGAGAUCUCGCCAUUGCACUCCAGCCUGGCGACAGAGCAAGACUCCAUUUCAAAAAAAAAAGAAAAUUUGACCCAGGUGUGACCUCACAAAUCAUCCAUCCAAAAUGUCCAUUCUACAGAUAGGGAACCCAUGACCCAAAGAAUAAAGCUUGUCCAAGAUCAAACUGAAG
Molecule: long non-coding RNA, 1413 nt
Organism: Symphalangus syndactylus (siamang)
Lineage: Eukaryota; Metazoa; Chordata; Mammalia; Primates; Hylobatidae
Source: RefSeq, a predicted model, not a curated record